GACGAACGCUGGCGGCGUGCUUAACACAUGCAAGUCGAACGGAAAGGCCCUGCUUUUGUGGGGUGCUCUAGUGGCGAACGGGUGAGUAACACGUGAGUAACCUGCCCUUGACUUUGGGAUAACUUCAUGAAACUGGGGCUAAUACCGGAUAGGAGCUCCUGCUGCAUGGUGGGGGUUGGAAAGUUUCGGCGGUUGGUGAUGGACUCGCGGCUUAUCAGCUUGUUGGUGGGGUAGUGGCUUACCAAGGCUUUGACGGGUAGCCGGACUGAUAGGGUGACCGGCCAAAUUGGGACUGAGAUACGGCACAGACUCCUACGGGAGGCAGCAGUGGGGAAUAUUGCACAAUGGGCGGAAGCCUGAUGCAGCAACGCCGCGUGCGGGAUGACGGCCUUCGGGUUGUAAACCGCUUUCGCCUGUGACGAAGCGUGAGUGACGGUAAUGGGUAAAGAAGCACCGGCUAACUCCGUG
This 468-nucleotide ribosomal RNA is filed under the name uncultured bacterium. RNAcentral's name for it is "partial 16S ribosomal RNA". It matches the Rfam family "Bacterial small subunit ribosomal RNA", at positions 28 to 507 of the family's 1533-position model. The record is from RNAcentral.